UAUUUUAUUUGUAUUGUUGUCGCGCGAUAGAUUUAAAUGUACUCACUUCAACGAAUUUAAUUUUUAGGUACUACCAAUUAUGCAUUAUAGUAUACCAUUCAUAAUUUAUUUUAUUUUUGGUGGAAGAUUUUUGUAUCGUAAUCUGUCAUGGAAUAAUUGCAGAGUCUUGGUGACCCACAAGAAACUUACAAAAGAAAAACAUAGGAGGAACCAACUUGUAAAUUUUAAGUCUGUCAAUCUACUAUGGAUAAAGAAUCAUCAAAAUCGUUAUUUUCUCUACUGUGCUGUCCUAAUAUAUAUGGAAUUAACUUAGAGUCCUCUAGUUUAAAUGAAGUUCUUUCAGUUUUCGAGGACAAAAUAUUACUGGAUUGCUGUUCAUCAGCAGCAGAAUAUGCUCUUGUUUAAUACCUCACUCACAUAGUGGAGCCAAUCGGAUGGAAAACUGUCUGGAGGUCAACUGGAAAAUCUUCUAUUGUUGAUUCAGAGUUAGAUUUCAUAGUGGAAGUUGUGAGUGUGGGAAAAGUUAGAGGCUGGUGAAAUCAGUAAUCGGAGCUGACCUCAACCAGAUACAGUGGAUUCAGCAAGAAGUUAAAAAAUGUUCUAGUGUUGCUCUACCAUUAGUUGAGUUGUUUGUAAUCAGUGAAGAGGACGAUGAUGAAGUGUAUCUUAAAACAGCAUUUGCUAUUGAGCAUGUUUGGUAACUAUAUCUACAAAAAAAAAACUGUCUUGCCAUCACAAGAAUUCUAUGCAACUGAAAUCGUCUGCUGCUGUGGAAACAGGAGUAAAACUAUUUUGACUGAGCGAGAAUCAAAGAGAUAAUGUUACUCCGUCAAUCCGCAAAAGUGCAAAUCAUAUCUCUUCUUAACCAGCCAAAGCACGAGUAUGCAGGAAUUGUGAUGGCUAGACUGUAUAUUAACUUUUUUUGAUACUUUGGGAUUAUCUUGUUGAUCUGCUCUAAGUACCUGUACUUAUAUAAGUGUUUAAUAAGUAGUAAUCAAAAACUUUGAUUGCCAUUAUAACUAUUUUGAUUUUUAGAAAUUCUUUGGAAAUUCUUUUUAUUGCAUUUGCAACGACCUUGGGGUGGCGAGGAAGAUAUCCAAUAUACGGAAGACAUUUUAAAACCUCGAUUGCAGCUUUACUUUGACAUGAAGAAUAACAUUCUGCCCAAACCCAUGAUAUCCAAAAUAAAAAUGAUUCUGAAGCAAGCAACCAAAGUGCAGAGAGAGAGAUCAACCUGAUGUAUUCUGAAAUAAAUGUCAGUGAUUCUGAAGCUGAAAUCAAUGAAGAGGACUUUAUGAGGACAAUUGAAUUGAAAGAAUGACUCAAUGAACUGCGAACUAAAAUGGAAAUGUUGGAGAAUCCAGUAAUUAGAAUUUAUCUGUUGAUUCUAAUGGGAUUCUGGAAUUCGAACAUAAUCCUGAAACUGCCUUUAAAUCCAGUUCUGCUGGAGAUAAAAUUAUAAUUUUUCCCAGUACCUACAUAUGUAAUACUUUAGGAUGGGUUGAAGAGCCUAUAACAGUUCAACGUAAUUAUAUCUUAUUUA
Molecule: long non-coding RNA, 1543 nt
Organism: Parasteatoda tepidariorum (common house spider)
Lineage: Eukaryota; Metazoa; Arthropoda; Arachnida; Araneae; Theridiidae
Source: RefSeq, a predicted model, not a curated record